AGGAAGGAGGGUUGACGCAGCAGACAGUGCCUUAUGAAAGAGUUACGGGCUCCGCUGCUUCUCAUCACAUCUCCAAUGAGCUGAGAGUCACCAUAACACCUCUUGACCUGUGCUGGGAUCUCAGAGCGUUGAUCCAGGUCCAGACGCACCACCCCCUCCGUCCCCCAGCUGGACAACGCUGGAACAGAGACCAGAGAGCCAAAGAGACGAAUAGCAAAAGUGAGAAGCUGAGACAGAACAGACGGGACUGCCUGUAGUUCACAGACCGACUGUCCAUCAUCUCCCAGAGAGCCGGCACUCUGCACAUCAAGGUAGAAGACAUGAAGAUUUCUCACUUCAUAAAAAGGCUUUAGAGGAGCAAUAAGUCACACAGAGCCAACUUCUCUGUGAAUAUAUAUCGCUCCUCUCUGAACCUUCACACACUGUGUCCAACAGGCCUCCAUACGUCUGCUCUUCUUCUUCUCAUCCCUUAUCCUCAAGGAACUUGAGACAAAAGAAGCGAGUGCACUGUCUAUUAAGUUUAAACACGAUGACAUGAACUUUCUCCUCUCUAAGAACAGAUCACCAUUUUUUAUGUAUUUCAUGUAAGUGUUAGCUCUCUUUCAUCUGUUACUGCAAAAAGUUGUAGAGUCAUAGCCAAGCAGGGCUGCAAACUAUGAAAUGAAUCUGUCUGUUAGUUACUGUUUAAUCUGCCAAUGAUUGAUUUUCAUGUCAGGAAAUAGUCAAACAGCCUUCGCAGUUUCCCAGAAAACGAGGUUGCAUCCUCAAAUUGCUCGUUUCAUCUGAUUAGCAGCCCAAAAACAAAUAUAUAUAUAUUCAAUUUACAAUGAU
Molecule: long non-coding RNA, 831 nt
Organism: Seriola aureovittata
Lineage: Eukaryota; Metazoa; Chordata; Actinopteri; Carangiformes; Carangidae
Exons: 3
Source: RefSeq, a predicted model, not a curated record